Molecule: non-coding RNA, 86 nt
Organism: Peromyscus maniculatus bairdii (prairie deer mouse)
Lineage: Eukaryota; Metazoa; Chordata; Mammalia; Rodentia; Cricetidae
Source: RefSeq, a predicted model, not a curated record
UACAUAUGGAUGAUGCAACCAACUACCCAAGUGUCAUGCCAAUGAAAACACCAAAUAAACUUUGAACAGUGAAGAUAGGAAGAGCA